AUGUUUUUUGCAGGAACAGCAGGUUUUCACUUCUCCUCAGAAGAGAGGCAAUAUUUUAUAAAAUAGUUGAUCCAUACAGGGCAAAAAUGCCUUUUUUUUUU
Small nuclear RNA from Agelaius phoeniceus (red-winged blackbird), 101 nucleotides. Lineage: Eukaryota; Metazoa; Chordata; Aves; Passeriformes; Icteridae. The record is from RefSeq and is a predicted model, not a curated record.